GCUCUCCAUUUCCCAGUCCCACACAAACUCCUCCCAUCUUCUCUCACUCUCCUUUUGCAAGCUUUUUGAAAUUUUCUCAAUCUUUAUUCCUUAACCCUAACCAAGAGGAGGAGGCAAGAGGGAGAUUUGAAGACUCAAUAGAGAAGAACUCUCGCUGGGUAGGAGAGAGAGGCGGUUUUUGUUUUGGGAGAGAAGAAAAAGUAGAGAAAAAAAGGGUUUUCUGGUUUUGGGAGAGAAGAAAAUGCAGAGAGGUCACUGGUUUAGAGAGUGGCUUCACAAAGAGGAAUCCUAGAACAGCUUGCAUCGGAUCUUUUCACUUGGGAAUCAAGGCUACCGAAUGGGAUUUAUUUCCAUUAGUUCUGCUUUGGCCAGCAAGGUGGUCAUCUAAGAAGAGCCGCCAUUGAUUGGGUAUUAUCUUAACCUUGGGCAGCAAGUUGAUGUGUUGACAAAGAGGAUCGAUUGGUAGUCUAUAGAGUUGAUUUUGGUUUCCUUUCUUGUUAACAGUGUUUGGAAGUCUUUGUUUCCUAUUUACUUUAUUUCCUUUGAGCUUUAAUCUUCUUGUAUAAGGGAGAAAUCCGCUAGAGGCUUUCUUUCUUAUCAUCAGUCUUUGAAGACCAA
Macadamia integrifolia is the source of this 618-nucleotide long non-coding RNA. RefSeq lists it as uncharacterized. NCBI's taxonomy places the organism in Eukaryota, Viridiplantae, Streptophyta, Magnoliopsida, Proteales, Proteaceae. The transcript has 2 exons. The record is from RefSeq and is a predicted model, not a curated record.